GACGAACGCUGGUGGCGUGCUUAACACAUGCAAGUCGAACGGAAAGGCCCUGCUUGCAGGGUACUCGAGUGGCGAACGGGUGAGUAACACGUGGGUGAUCUGCCCUGCACUUCGGGAUAAGCCUGGGAAACUGGGUCUAAUACCGGAUAGGAGCCAUUUUUAGUGUGAUGGUUGGAAAGUUUUUUCGGUGUAGGAUGAGCUCGCGGCCUAUCAGCUUGUUGGUGGGGUAAUGGCCUACCAAGGCGGCGACGGGUAGCCGGCCUGAGAGGGUGGACGGCCACAUUGGGACUGAGAGACGGCCCAGACUCCUACGGGAGGCAGCAGUGGGGAAUAUUGCACAAUGGGCGCAAGCCUGAUGCAGCGACGCCGCGUGUGGGAUGACGGCCUUCGGGUUGUAAACUCCUUUCGCUAGGGACGAAGCUUUUUGUGACGGUACCUAGAUAAGAAGCACCGGCUAACUACGUG
This 465-nucleotide ribosomal RNA is filed under the name uncultured bacterium. Its description in RNAcentral is "partial 16S ribosomal RNA". It matches the Rfam family "Bacterial small subunit ribosomal RNA", at positions 28 to 507 of the family's 1533-position model. The record is from RNAcentral.